GCGGACAUGGUAUAAAGGUAGUGCCCCGGCCUUCCAAGCCGGAGAAGACGGGUUCGAGUCCCGCUGUCCGCUCCA
RNAcentral lists this transfer RNA (75 nucleotides) under Paenibacillus lautus. RNAcentral describes it as "tRNA-Gly". It matches the Rfam family "tRNA". Rfam says of the family: Transfer RNA (tRNA) molecules are approximately 80 nucleotides in length. Their secondary structure includes four short double-helical elements and three loops (D, anti-codon, and T loops). RNAcentral also lists the same sequence under 3 other names. Lineage: Bacteria; Bacillati; Bacillota; Bacilli; Caryophanales; Paenibacillaceae. The record is from RNAcentral.